GACAGAGGUGCCAAGCGUUAGGCGGAAUCACUGGGCUUAAAGCGUGUGUAGGCGGACCUGUAAGUGCCUUGUGAAAUCCCAUGGCUCAACCAUGGAACGGCUGGGCAUACUGCGGGUCUUCGAGCGUGUCUAGGGGGCAACCGGAACAAACGGUGGAGCGGUGAAAUGCGUAGAUAUCGUUUGGAACGCCAAUAGUGAAAACAGGUGCUGGGGACAUGCUGACGCUGAGACACGAAAGCCAGGGGAGCGAACGGG
Molecule: ribosomal RNA, 255 nt
Filed under: uncultured bacterium
Lineage: Bacteria
Description: partial 16S ribosomal RNA
Rfam family: Bacterial small subunit ribosomal RNA
Source: RNAcentral